This 915-nucleotide long non-coding RNA is filed under the name Triticum aestivum (bread wheat). RNAcentral's name for it is "long non-coding RNA (TAES_LNC023778)". The record is from RNAcentral. Lineage: Eukaryota; Viridiplantae; Streptophyta; Magnoliopsida; Poales; Poaceae.
AGUGAGGCAUGGGGCAUUAAAGGUGCUUGUCGGAUCCUGAGGAAAUCGCCAAAUUCUGAUGGAUCUAUUGGAAUUUUAUCUAGGGCCUAUCUCCCCCUAAAUCCAUCUUUCACAACUGUCAGAACGAGAACAGAAAGUUGCCCUUGUUAUUGGUCCAGGACGGUGAGGUGUCCGUCUGUCUUUGCUUAGUACGUUUACAUUUUAUGUAUCUAGGCCAAAGAAUGAUAGUAAUAUGUUUUAACUACGUCUUUAUUAGGCCUACCUAGAAUAAGGAAGAUCUUCCCACUCUUGAUUUUCAAAAUCUCAUAUUGGCAUAAUACUACUAUUUUGGUUGUUGUUUUUGAGAUAGCUUACCAAGCUUGACGCCUGGUGGCAUAAUACUACUCUGACAUACAAUAACACAUUAGUUUGUAAUAUUGGUUGCUUCAUAUUGAUAUACAUCUGCAUAUCUCCAUUCAAGUGCUUGUCUAUGCUGCUAAUCUGUUUUUUUUGGUUAACAGAAAUCUCCUUGAACGAAUGGUGCCAAGACAGAUAACAGAGCACUUUUUGCCGAAGUUUAUGGCCGUGGAUAAGUGCUGGAUUACUGUUAGUUACCUUUAUGCAUGAUUGUGGAUUGGACCACUAGUAUUUCAUACGAUGUGCUAGGAGCUCUCGUAAUUCGACAUUUGUUUCAAGUUGGAGUCUGGUUUGGCCUGUGUUGGCACAUUUUGGCAAAGUUGGACUUUGGUUUGGCCUAUGUAGACUGAGUUUUUGCUGCUUGGUAUGUGGUGCAGUGUAUGAUCCUUCGUGAUCAGGUUGUAAUAUUCUGGGAGUCGAUCCUUGCUAGUAGUUUGUUUAUGAUCUGGACCAUGUGGUUUCUAUAAUGGAAUUCUAAAGGCUUCUCUUUCAUUAAAGUAAAAAGAAAUGUGGUUUCUA